RNAcentral lists this long non-coding RNA (1821 nucleotides) under Olea europaea subsp. europaea. Lineage: Eukaryota; Viridiplantae; Streptophyta; Magnoliopsida; Lamiales; Oleaceae. The record is from RNAcentral.
GCUCUUUGAAGCUCUCUCUGUCUCUUCAUUCAUGUGAGAUGUGACUUACAUGUCCUUUGGCACCUCCUUCUCACUUGAAAACUCGUUGAGUUCUCUCUAUCCUCUUUGUAGAGAUCCGAUCUCACAUAAUUAUUCAGAAACAAAGACAAAAUUGUCACUGUAAGUUUUUCUUUGUUCAUUCUGUUGUUCGUUUUUGGUUUUUGGAUUCCCAUCUUUCCCCAUUGCACUUUCUUUUUGGGUUUGUCAUUGUUUUCAGUUUUUAAUUGGAUGUGUUUCACCUCUUAUUUUAGUGAUCUAGGUAUAUGAUUACUGUCAUCUUUUUAUUUUAGAGAGCUGUUUAAAUACUUAGAUCUCUGUUUAGAAAUUUGUUGUUUUAAGGUUUGAAUUUUUAAUACUAUCUUAUUUUAUGGUUUUGCUUUAAUGUUGUGUUUGUAUACAAUUCUGAAAUUGAAUCUGUCGGUAAUUAAUUUCAAGUUGUGUUGUGCCUUAGGGUUCAAAGGUCAUUAUUACUAAUUAAGGAGCCUCCCGGAAUUAGAAACAUAGUGUUCUUGAGAUUCUAGUUAGAGAUUUUGGUUGAUGAAUAAAUAUAAAUCUCUUAACCAUGGCAUGGGAGUUAACUGCCUCCGUCAGGGAAAUACUAUACGUUUUUUCUCCACCUGAUUGUAGUAAUAAUUUAAAGUCCAAGACAGUGGGAUCAUCAAACUUGCCUCCAACAGGUAUGUGGAGUUCACCGGAGCACGGUCAUUCUGAUCAUGGGAGGUGGAUUUAGUCAUGAUAUAAGCCGAAUGCACAAUAACCCAACUAAGAAUAUGAGACAGAUACGAGGUCAAGCGGAGGUUCUUACACUUCCAGAUUUUAUUAGCUUUGAUAGUAAUCUUGAUUUUGUUGGAGAAUUUCAUAGACCAUCCCUGUCCAAUUAGACCCAAGAAAACCAGUUAAUCUGUUACGAAUUCAUCUUGACAUGGACAUAAGUUCAAUUCAACUUAUUACAACUACUGCGUUCCAUGGGGGAAUCAUUUGACUCAUGAGCAGCAACACCCGCUGUCAAAGCAUUGGCAUUAGCCAAUUGUUCACCUGAUGAUUCUCAUGCUGGGAUCAGAAGAGCCGUAUUCAGCUGAGUCAAAGAAAGCAGUAUCUACAGCUAAGCGAAGCUUGCUGACUUUGCUCUUGUUGAUCCAAAAUGUGCUCAGAGUUAAAAUUUCAGGAUGAAGCAAUUCAUUAUAUUCCUGUGACACCCAUUAUUUCUUCUAUUACUUGUUAGUUUUAAAUUUGAUUUUUUAUUUAUAUUUGAAAAUAUGAUGGAAAAAUAAGUUGUUUUAUGUCAUCUCAAUGGACUUUUGGACAUAAAACUUUUAUCAAAUACAAUAUAUGUCAACUAAUGAAAAGUUUGAGGAUAAAAAUGACAUGAAAAAUCGUUAAGGACAUAUAAAAUGAACAAAGGUUAAUAAAUGUUGUGCAAGAAAUAAAAAUUGUGGUGCUAUAAUUAACCUAGCAAUUAUUCAGUUCCUUAAAUUUGAUAGAAGCAAAAAAAUAAAAAAUAAAAAAUUGCUUCUGGAAGUGAACGAAUGAACAAUUCAAGAAACUAAGGGUCUCUGGAAAAAUCAUACUGUUUUGAUAUGUAACUACACUAUGUGUUCUUUAUGUAUGACACGAUGCUCAUGACACAGUCUAAAAUAAUCUUUUUACACAAAUUCAUAAUAUUAGUUAUGAAAUUUAAAGAUUUCUUUGAACCUCGCACUAGGAGACAAGUAGUCGAGUGUCACACUCUUUAAUUGUUCUGAGCUACCAAGUCUUCAAUGUCGUUCUCUUGUAACGACGGUG